UAACGUACUGCGGAGUACAUGUAUGUUGUACUGCUGUACGUAGUAUAAAAUUGCUAUUGCUAUCACUACUUUUAAGUAAAUACACCACCAUACACGAGCAACCGGUUUCUGUUGAGCCAGUCACCAGUGCAGUGACGGCAAGUUAUGAGCAAUUCAGAAAUUAGCUGUUGACGUGCAUGUACACAGGCCUACAUACAUCCCAUACAACUUUCACCAUGGACUCGACAAAGAUGAAGACACCACACAUCCUGUGUACAUCGAAAUGGAUGAAAAAUCGACACAUGU
Long non-coding RNA from Asterias rubens (European starfish), 285 nucleotides. RefSeq lists it as uncharacterized. The record is from RefSeq and is a predicted model, not a curated record. The transcript is spliced from 3 exons. Lineage: Eukaryota; Metazoa; Echinodermata; Asteroidea; Forcipulatida; Asteriidae.